This 401-nucleotide ribosomal RNA is filed under the name uncultured bacterium. Its description in RNAcentral is "bacterial SSU rRNA". It matches the Rfam family "Bacterial small subunit ribosomal RNA", at positions 361 to 776 of the family's 1533-position model. The record is from RNAcentral.
AUAUUUGGCAAUGGAGGCAACUCUGACCCAGCAACGCCGCCUGAGUGAUGAAGGUCUUCGGAUUGUAAAACUCUUUAAGUGGGGACGAAGAAAGUGACUGUACCCACAGAAUAAGCCUCGGCUAACUACGUGCCAGCCGCCGCGGUAAUACGUAGGAGGCAAGCGUUAUCCGGAAUGACUGGGCGUAAAGGGUGCGUAGGUGGUUUGGCAAGUUAGUAGCGUAAUUCCGGGGAUCAACUUCGGAACUACUACUAAAACUGCUGGGCUUGAGUGCAGGAGGGGCAUAUGGAAUUCCUAGUGUAGCGGUGGAAUGCGUAGAUAUUAGGAGGAACACCAGUGGCGAAGGCGAUAUGCUGGACUGUAACUGACACUGAGGCACGAAAGCGUGGGGAGCAAACAGG